Molecule: ribosomal RNA, 460 nt
Filed under: uncultured bacterium
Lineage: Bacteria
Description: partial 16S ribosomal RNA
Rfam family: Bacterial small subunit ribosomal RNA
Source: RNAcentral
CCUACGGGAGGCUGCAGUGAGGAAUAUUGGUCAAUGGCCGGAAGGCUGAACCAGCCAUGCCGCGUGCAGGUCAGUGCCCUAUGGGCGUUAAACUUCUUUUGUGCGGGAGCAAUAAUGGUCACGUGUGGCCAGACGAGAGUACCGUACGAAUAAGCAUCGGCUACAUCUGUGCCAGCAGCCGCGGUAAUACGGGGGAUGCAAGCGUUAUCCGGAUUUAUUGGGUUUAAAGGGUGCGUAGGCUGUGAGGUAAGUCAGCGGUGAAAUGCCCCCGCUCAACGGGGUGAAGUGCCAUUGAUACUGCCGUGCUGGAAUGCGGAUGCCGUGGGCGGAAUGUGUGGUGUAGCGGUGAAAUGCAUAGAUAUCACACAGAACACCGAUUGCGAAGGCAUGUCACGAAUCCGCGAUUGACGCUGAUGCACGAAAGCGUGGGUAUCAAACAGGAUUAGAUACCCGAGUAGUC